This 565-nucleotide unclassified non-coding RNA is filed under the name Graphilbum rectangulosporium. RNAcentral's name for it is "partial contains 18S rRNA, ITS1, 5.8S rRNA, ITS2 and 28S RNA". Lineage: Eukaryota; Fungi; Ascomycota; Sordariomycetes; Ophiostomatales; Ophiostomataceae. The record is from RNAcentral.
CCUACCUGAUCCGAGGUCAACCUAAAAAAUAAAAGGCUUUUACGGCAGGGCGCAAGCCGGGGCGUCCAGAGCGAAGAGUGUUUACUGCGCUCGGAGCCGACCAGCCAGCCCGCCACUUGCUUUCGGGGCCUGCGGCCAGGCCGCAGAAGAGCCCCAACAGCAGGCGCACGAGGCGCCUGAGGGUGGAAAUGACGCUCGGACAGGCAUGCCUGCCAGAAUACUGGCAGGCGCAAUGUGCGUUCAAAGAUUUGAUGAUUCACUAAAUUCUGCAAUUCACAUUACUUAUCGCGUUUUGCUGCGUUCUUCAUCGAUGCCAGAACCAAGAGAUCCGUUGUUGAAAGUUUUGACUAUUUUGUCUUUUCUUUUUUGCUCAGACGAGCCACAAAUCAGGCAAGCGUUUAACAUAAAGGCCGUGCCUGCCACCCCCGGCCGGUGCCCCUGGCGCGUACGCCAGGCGCCUUGCGGGCGCCCCUCGGACAGGGCGCCGCCGGCCGGAAGCAACAAGACAGCAGAACGUCGGUAUGGUUCACAUGGGUUGGGAGUUGAAAACUCGGAAUGAUCCCUC